This 769-nucleotide long non-coding RNA is filed under the name Aquila chrysaetos chrysaetos. RNAcentral's name for it is "lncRNA (ENSACCG00020001906.1)". Lineage: Eukaryota; Metazoa; Chordata; Aves; Accipitriformes; Accipitridae. The record is from RNAcentral.
AUGGGAAGCCUGAGCUGGGGAAAUAUUCCCUGUUUUGAUAUAAAUGACUGUUUCUGUUUCUCCAGACUCUGCCGUAAUCUGCUCCCAGCGCGAGGGAGGCGAGCGUGCCGGCUCGGUGCAUGGGAACCCGCCCGUCUAAAGGAGCUGGAAGAUGGAUGCGGUGCAUCCCGGCCGGACCGAGCCCCCGGCCCCACGGCAGCCGGAGGCGCAGGAACGACCGAACCGGCGGAUGGUGGACCGGCUGAGCCCAGAGCUCCGGACGGAGAAAUACAUCCUACUGAGCAUGGACGGGAAGCUGCUGGGACCGGAGCUGAGCCGGAUCCGGAGCGAGAUGGCCCUGCCGCUGGAACGCCCGGACGCCGACCUACCCCAGGACCUGCCCUCCGGCUACCUCUGCCGCCAGCGCCGUUCCCUGCCCACCUUCCCGCUGCCCCCCGGCCCCCAGACCCCCGCCGAGCUCAGGUAGGUGAUGCCGACGGCACCUCCCGGCGACGGGGUCCCGGCGAUGGCCGCCCGCGCCCCCCGCCCCCGACCCCCCCUCCCCGUCUUUUCCAGGAGCAGCUCGGACGUUCUCUGCGCUGGCCGGUUCCCGGCGGGACUCAGCCGGCUGGUGACCGGCAUGCAGACCCCGGUCUCGCCGCGACGCCGGGGCAGCCCACUGGCACCGGAGAGCGGCUGGGGAGGCGCGGGGCGGUGAGGGGAGCCCCCUCCCUGCUCCGUGCGGGGCGAGGGUGUGAAAUAAAGACACACCCCCCCCCCCGUUUCAAGG